RNAcentral lists this ribosomal RNA (453 nucleotides) under Triticum aestivum (bread wheat). RNAcentral's name for it is "partial small subunit ribosomal RNA". The record is from RNAcentral. Lineage: Eukaryota; Viridiplantae; Streptophyta; Magnoliopsida; Poales; Poaceae.
AUGGAGGAGCAUAGUUCUGUCAGUGAGCAUAUACUCAGAAUGUCUGGGUAUAACAAUCACUUGAUUCAACUGGGAGUUAAUCUUCUGGAUGAUAGCAUCAUUGACAGAAUUCUUCAAUCACUGCCACCAAGCUACAAGAGCUUCGUGAUGAACUAUAACAUGCAAGGGAUGGAUAAGACAAUUCACGAGCUCUUCGCAGUGCUAAAGGUUGCGGAGGUAGAAAUCAAAAGGGAGCAUCAAGUUUUGAUGGUCAAUAAGACCACCAGUUUCAAGAAAAAGGCAAAGGGAAGAAGAAGGGGAACUUCAAGAAAAACAACAAACAAGUUGCUGCUCAAGAGAAGAAACCCAAGUCUGGACCUAAGCCUGAGACUGAGUGCUUCUACUGCAAGCAGACUAGUCACUGGAAGCAGAACUGCCCCAAGUAUUUGGCGGAUAAGAAGGAUGGCAAGGUGA